Erigeron canadensis is the source of this 358-nucleotide long non-coding RNA. RefSeq lists it as uncharacterized. Lineage: Eukaryota; Viridiplantae; Streptophyta; Magnoliopsida; Asterales; Asteraceae. The record is from RefSeq and is a predicted model, not a curated record. The transcript has 2 exons.
AUAUCUUACUUAACUGGUAAUCAACCAAUCUUAUAUCUGAACGCCUUUGACCGCGGAUUGGCUAACAUUUUUUCUUUUAAUGUUCAACGAAGAUUAAUAUCCGGCUGCUUGAGGUUACUCAAUUUCGAAAGACACCUAAGAUUAGCAACAUUGAUGCUUGAAAGUUAAGCUACCAUCUCAGCAAUGAGUACGACAUCAUCGACACUGGUGCAUUACUUUGUAGAACUUGCAGAAGAUUCGCCAUUCACUUGCUCAUUGUACUUCUACAAAUACAACUAUAUAUAAGUUUUUCCGUUUCAAUAUGAAAGUGAUUAAGUGAACAUUUAAGAAUCAAUGCAUUAGACCAUUUCAAUGUUUA